RNAcentral lists this ribosomal RNA (500 nucleotides) under uncultured bacterium. RNAcentral's name for it is "partial 16S ribosomal RNA". It matches the Rfam family "Bacterial small subunit ribosomal RNA", at positions 30 to 523 of the family's 1533-position model. The record is from RNAcentral.
AUUGAACGCUGGCGGCAUGCUUUACACAUGCAAGUCGAACGGCAGCAUGGGCUUCGGCCUGAUGGCGAGUGGCGAACGGGUGAGUAAUAUAUCGGAACGUACCCAAGAGUGGGGGAUAACGUAGCGAAAGUUACGCUAAUACCGCAUACGAUCCAAGGAUGAAAGUGGGGGACCUUCGGGCCUCAUGCUCCUGGAGCGGCCGAUAUCUGAUUAGCUAGUUGGUAGGGUAAAGGCCUACCAAGGCAUCGAUCAGUAGCUGGUCUGCGAGGACGACCAGCCACACUGGCACUGAAGCACGGUCCAGACUCCUACGGGAGGCAGCAGUGGGGAAUUUUGGACAAUGGGAGCAACCCUGAUCCAGCAAUGCCGCGUGAGUGAAGAAGGCCUUCGGGUUGUAAAGCUCUUUUGUCAGGGAAGAAACGGCUGUGGCUAAUAUCCAUGGCUAAUGACGGUACCUGAAGAAUAAGCACCGGCUAACUACGUGCCAGCAGCCGCAGUAA